UACGGAGGGUGCAAGCGUUAUCCGGAUUCACUGGGUUUAAAGGGUGCGUAGGCGGAUAGGUAAGUCCGUGGUGAUAUCCUGCAGCUUAACUGCAGAACUGCCGUGGAUACUAUCUAUCUUGAAUGUCGUGGAGGUUAGCGGAAUAUGUCAUGUAGCGGUGAAAUGCUUAGAUAUGACAUAGAACACCCAUUGCGAAGGCAGCUAACUACGCGAUAAUUGACGCUGAUGCACGAAAGCGUGGGGAUCAAACAGG
RNAcentral lists this ribosomal RNA (253 nucleotides) under uncultured bacterium. RNAcentral's name for it is "partial 16S ribosomal RNA". It matches the Rfam family "Bacterial small subunit ribosomal RNA", at positions 524 to 776 of the family's 1533-position model. The record is from RNAcentral.